RNAcentral lists this ribosomal RNA (813 nucleotides) under uncultured bacterium. RNAcentral describes it as "bacterial SSU rRNA". It matches the Rfam family "Bacterial small subunit ribosomal RNA", at positions 78 to 906 of the family's 1533-position model. The record is from RNAcentral.
AGCAAUAUUGUCUUAGUGGCGAACGGGUGAGUAACGCGUUGGUGACCUGCCUCGAAGAGGGGGAUAACAGUUCGAAAGGAUUGCUAAUACCUCAUGUGGUUGCUUGGGUUAGAGACCUUGCAACUAAACGGAUUUAUUCGCUUCGAGAGGGGCCUGCGUCCCAUCAGCUAGUUGGUAGGGUAAUGGCCUACCAAGGCGAUGACGGGUAGGGGACCUGAGAGGGUGGCCCCCCACAAUGGAACUGAAACACGGUCCAUACACCUACGGGUGGCAGCAGUAGGGAAUAUUGGUUAAUCUGGGAAACCGGGAACCAGCAACGCCGCGUGCGCGAUGAAGGCCUUCGGGUUGUAAAGCGCUUUUAGAGAGGAUGAGGAAGGACAGUACUCUCUGAAUAAGCCUCGGCUAACUACGUGCCAGCAGCCGCGGUAAAACGUAGGAGGCGAGCGUUAUCCGGAUUUACUGGGCGUAAAGCGCGUGUAGGCGGUUUGAUAAGUUGGAUGUGAAAGCUCCUGGCUUAACUGGGAGAGGUCGUUCAAAACUGUCAGACUUGAGAGUGGUAGAGGGAGGUGGAAUUCCGGGUGUAGUGGUGAAAUGCGUAGAUAUCCGGAGGAACACCAGUGGCGAAAGCGGCCUCCUGGACCAUUUCUGACGCUCAGACGCGAAAGCUAGGGUAGCAAACGGGAUUAGAGACCCCGGUAGUCCUAGCUGUAAACGAUGUGAACUUGGCGUCGGUGGGUUCAAAUCCAUCGGUGCCGAAGCUAACGCGAUAAGUUCACCGCCUGGGGACUACGGCCGCAAGGUUAAAACUCAAAG